Molecule: long non-coding RNA, 406 nt
Filed under: Androctonus crassicauda
Lineage: Eukaryota; Metazoa; Arthropoda; Arachnida; Scorpiones; Buthidae
Source: RNAcentral
CAAAAUGGAAAAAUAAUCAAAAAAAUAAUCUAGGAAAAAUUAUGACUCUUCUUGAAUUGCAAUGCAGGUCUUACAGCAUCUCAUACUGGCAUAAAAUAGUCAAAAAUUCUGAGGGAAUUAAUCAUUCAUGCAAAAAAGUCAAUCUUAAGUUUAACAAGGUUUUUAUGAGGAGGAAUGAGAGCACCAAUCUGUUUUCAAGGAGUAUUCCAUGCAUGCUCAGAUUUAGGUUAGGAGAUUUGGCUGGCCAAUCCAGUUGAUCAGUUCUCUAUUCAUUGAGAUAUUUAUCUGCAAGACGAUGUUUUGUGUGGAUAGAUAUUAUUAUCCACCAAUACGAAUUCUGAAUUCACUAACCUGAACAUGGAAUAACAUAUGGUUCAAGGAUCUCAUUUCUAUAAUGAAAUAUGCA